AAUAACGGCUAUUUAAAUGAUCCAUGAAACGAUAAGUUUAUUUUUUCAAAAAUUAAUUUAAUCGUACCGAUAACCGCAUCAGGUCUCCAAGGUGAGUAGCUUCUGGCCAUUGAGUAAUGGUAAUUUAGGGAAUUCGGCCAAUUAGAGCUGUAACUUCGGGAUAAAGCUUGGCUCUGAUGGAAAUCAGAACCGAUAGUUACAAGGAGAGCCCAACUGUUUAAUAAAAACUUAGUGUCGCGUCAUACCUUUAUAAGUAAUAAACGUGACAUGAAUCCUGCUCAGUGCUGUGUUUGUUAAACUGGAUUAAUCCAUUUAAGCGCCGGUAAAUAGCUGGGGUAACUAUGACUCUUAUCAAAGUAGCGAAAUACCUCGUCACUUAAUUAGUGACCUGCAUGAACGGAGCUAUGAGGUUCUCACUGUCCCAAAUUAUCACUCAGCGAACCAACAGUUGUGGGAACGGGCACAAAUUAUCCAGCGGGGAAAGAAGACCCUGUAGAGCUUCACUUUGGUCUAAUCUUGUAUAGUUUCGUUAGGGGUGCAGUCUAGGUGGGAGAUUUUUAAUCAAAUAUGAGAAACCACUACCCUUUCUGGAAUUAUACUUACUAAAAUUCUUUUCUAAAUUUUAGGAUCGGAUUAGAUAGAAAGUUUGGCUGGGGCGGCACACCUUCGAAAAAGCAGCGAAGGUGUCCUAAGUUAAGCUCAGUAAGGACAGAAAUCUUACGUUGAGGAUAAGGCCAAAAGCUUAAUUUACUGUGCCUUUUUGUACUAGGAUCAGUUUGGAAACAAAGGCCUAACGAUCCCUAAUUAGUCUUAGGUGUGUAAGACUUGGGGUGACAGACAAGUUACCUCCGGGACAACUGGCUUGUGGCUGCUAAGAGAUCAAAUCAACGCAGCUUUUUGAUUCUUCGAUGUCGGCUCUUCCUAUCCUAGUGAUGUACAAGUCACUAAGGGUUGGAUUGUUCACCCGUAUUAGGGAUCGUGAGCUGGGUUUAGACCGUCGUGAGCCAGGUUUGUUUUAUCCUACUGGAUAUAAUUUAGCAUCUUGAUAGUAGUUUGAUUUAGUACGAGAGGAACUGUUGAAUAUGGUCUCUGGUUUGGGAAUUUUAUGAAAAUAAAAGUUCCAAAGCUACGCCGUCUGAGAUAAUGGCUGAAGGCCUCUUAAGCCAGAAACUCAUCUAAAAAUAGAUGCUUUA
RNAcentral lists this ribosomal RNA (1193 nucleotides) under human gut metagenome. RNAcentral describes it as "eukaryotic LSU rRNA". It matches the Rfam family "Eukaryotic large subunit ribosomal RNA", at positions 1782 to 3164 of the family's 3401-position model. The record is from RNAcentral.